AGCUGCGUGGCGCAGUGGAAGCGCGGUAAGUCUCGAAAACUCACUUAGGAUAACAUGUGCAUCAUAACUAACUCUCCCCAGCCGGGCUCAUAACCCGGAGGUCCUCCGAUCGAAACGGAGCGCAGCUA
Molecule: non-coding RNA, 128 nt
Organism: Coniochaeta ligniaria NRRL 30616
Lineage: Eukaryota; Fungi; Ascomycota; Sordariomycetes; Coniochaetales; Coniochaetaceae
Source: the annotation of a GenBank genome assembly